GACGAACCACCCAAACGUUAUUCGGAAUCACUGGGCUUAAAGCGUGCGUAGGCGGCCUUGAAAGUUAGGUGUGAAAUCCCACAGCUCAACUGUGGAACUGCGCUUAAAACUACAAGGCUAGAGGGAUAUAGAGGUGAGCAGAACUGAUGGUGGAGCGGUGAAAUGCGUUGAUAUCAUCUAGAAUACCGGAGGCGAAGGCGGCUCACUGGGUAUCUUCUGACGCUGAGGUACGAAAGCUAGGGGAGCUAACGGG
This 253-nucleotide ribosomal RNA is filed under the name uncultured bacterium. Its description in RNAcentral is "partial 16S ribosomal RNA". It matches the Rfam family "Bacterial small subunit ribosomal RNA", at positions 524 to 776 of the family's 1533-position model. The record is from RNAcentral.